RNAcentral lists this ribosomal RNA (373 nucleotides) under uncultured bacterium. RNAcentral's name for it is "bacterial SSU rRNA". It matches the Rfam family "Bacterial small subunit ribosomal RNA", at positions 794 to 1170 of the family's 1533-position model. The record is from RNAcentral.
UCCACGCCGUAAACGAUGAUUACUCGAUGUAUGCGAUACACAGUAUGCGUCUGAACGAAAGUAUUAAGUAAUCCACCUGGGGAGUACGUCGGCAACGAUGAAACUCAAAGGAAUUGACGGGGGCCCGCACAAGCGGAGGAACAUGUGGUUUAAUUCGAUGAUACGCGAGGAACCUUACCUGGGCUUAAAUGCAGAAUGCAUUUACUCGAAAGAGUAAUUCCCUUCGGGGCUAUUUGCAAGGUGCUGCAUGGUUGUCGUCAGCUCGUGCCGUGAGGUGUCGGGUUAAGUCCCAUAACGAGCGCAACCCUUAUCGUUAGUUACCAGCUGGUAAAGCAGGGGACUCUAACGAAACUGCCAGUGUAAACUGAGAGGA